GAUGGUUCACUUGUGUUUAUUGCUUAUGUGUUUCAUAUUGGGUGGUCUGUUUGAUAUUGAUUGUUGAUUGUUUGUCUGAGUAUUGUACUGAUUGGUUUAGCUGUUUCCACAGGUACCUAAGUUGCUUUAAGUUCAUUUGAACUUUGUUUUGCUUGCUUGUGGUUGGCAUACCACUGAGGUAUAAUUCCUUGAUCUUCAUGUAGUCUGGAAGAC
RNAcentral lists this long non-coding RNA (213 nucleotides) under Lathyrus oleraceus (garden pea). RNAcentral describes it as "Pisum sativum (pea) long non-coding RNA (PSAT_LNC006770)". The record is from RNAcentral. Lineage: Eukaryota; Viridiplantae; Streptophyta; Magnoliopsida; Fabales; Fabaceae.